This 27-nucleotide small RNA is filed under the name Bombyx mori (domestic silkworm). RNAcentral's name for it is "ovarian small RNA-36310". Lineage: Eukaryota; Metazoa; Arthropoda; Insecta; Lepidoptera; Bombycidae. The record is from RNAcentral.
UUAAAUAACUAUAAACGAUUGUGGCGU